Molecule: ribosomal RNA, 393 nt
Filed under: uncultured bacterium
Lineage: Bacteria
Description: partial 16S ribosomal RNA
Rfam family: Bacterial small subunit ribosomal RNA
Source: RNAcentral
AUACGUAGGGGGCGAGCGUUGUCCGGAAUGAUUGGGCGUAAAGGGCGCGUAGGCGGCCCGGUAAGUCUGGAGUGAAAGUCCUGUUUUUGAGAUGGGAAUUGCUUUGGAUACUGUCGGGCUUGAGUGCAGGAGAGGUAAGUGGAAUUCCCAGUGUAGCGGUGAAAUGCGUAGAUAUGCCACAGAACGCCGAUAGCGGAGGCAGCUCGCCAGGCCUGCAUUGACGCUCGGGCACGAAAGCGUGGGGAUCGAACAGGAUUAGAUACCCUGGUAGUCCACGCCGUAAACGAUGGGCGCUCGUCGUCGGCGACAGACAGUCGGCGGCCAAGCGAAAGCGAUAAGCGCCCCACCUGGGGAGUACGGUCGCAAGGCUGAAACUCAAAUGAAUUGACGGGG